GAAGGGGACAGGACUGUACUAGCCAGAUGGCUUCCUUUCAUCUGGAAAGCAAAAGGUUUCCCUGAAUCCUCAGCAGAUUUCUGCUGUCUUCCCAUUGGCCAGAACUGUGUCACAUGGUCACUUUUAAUAGGUUUAAAAAUGAGUUUUUCUUGGGAAUAUUGCUGGCUUGAACUAAAUUGUGGUUCUGUUAGUGCAAAAAAGAGGAGUGGGUGGAGUUUGGUCACAUACCUCACACAGCCGCUCUUCUUAAGAUGCUACUUAGAGGAUGGUAGGGACUGAGAGGAGGAGGCAGAAGGAGCAUAGCGACCUCUUUGGAGAUACUACAGAGCCUAAGUCAAAGCUUGUUCUUGGACCCAGGAAAUAUGUCAAAUCCUUCCAGUGAAUGGUGCCUUUCAGGAUUGGAGACUACUCCCCCAGUUGCUGAUGGUGUGGUCAGCCCUCAGUUUUCAGUCCUCUUUGGGAAUUGCCUUGGAUGAAGAAAGUCACCUCACCCAAGAUCACUCCAACUCCUGGGACCCACAUCCAAUGAUUGGCCAAUAUGGGGACUCAAAGGCCUGGUCCCCCUUCCCCAACUUGAGACUACUCUGAAGGAUCACCCAGCUUCAGAGCUUCCCAUGGUUGAGACUUUUAGACUUCACUGUGGUCCAACCAAUCUCUUCCUAUACACGGUCCUGACUCCUUCACUUCCCUCCCAGCACUUCUUCUGUGUUAAUAUCAAACUUCUGUGCUAAUAACAAACUUCUUCCGUGCUAAUAUCUCUCAGUGUCUCCUUCCCUGGGAACUCAACCCUAGAUUGUUUAUACCAGCAGUGAUCCAAGAAAGAGAUGCCAACAUGAGAUUUUGGAAUUGGAUCACCUACCAUCCAGCUGGCAGUGCAGACCCCAUCAGUGGCAGUAGAAGAAGUACAUAUAGUCCGUAGCACAAGAUAGCAGUGAAAUUGUUAAAACUUUUGCCAAUGGUGAACUAGAAUGGUAUUCCCAUGGAAGGAAAUGCACCAGAGGGUGUGACCUAUCAGGUGGUUGAGAAAUAUGGGGAGAAUUACCACAAGGACAAUUCAAUUAGGUGGCUUUCACUAAGGAUAAUUAACACUUUGAAAAAAAUAAUGAAAUGUUGAAAAGGAUUCAUCAGCAAUUGAAAACUGAGUGGAGCUCAUAGGGAUACUCUCAUCCCUUGCACCUGGAGGAAAGGGAAAGCUGAGGACCAGGUACAUGGUGUAAUCCUAAUAGUAGCAGAGUGCAGGCCGGGUGCGGUGGCUCAUGCCUAUAAUCCCAGCACUCUGGGAGGCCA
RNAcentral lists this long non-coding RNA (1287 nucleotides) under Homo sapiens (human). Its description in RNAcentral is "HSALNT0298666". The record is from RNAcentral. Lineage: Eukaryota; Metazoa; Chordata; Mammalia; Primates; Hominidae.